This is a non-coding RNA of Gasterosteus aculeatus aculeatus (three-spined stickleback), 339 nucleotides long. The record is from RefSeq and is a predicted model, not a curated record. Lineage: Eukaryota; Metazoa; Chordata; Actinopteri; Perciformes; Gasterosteidae.
GCCUUGAUGUGCUCAAACCAGCUGGAAGCAAAUACUGCAAAGGAGAAGACAGACAUGUUAUCGCCACAUUAGACGUUCACCUUGAGCUGCACUGGUGACAACGUGCCACAAGCACCUAAUGCCAUCAUUUAGCUGGGAUAGACUCCAGCCCCCCUGCGUGCAGCAUAAGUGGUUUGACGAUGGAUGGAUGAAAAAGAAAACACUUGGCUAGAGAGCUGCCUACCUUGCCUUUCUUCUGGCUCAGGGCGGAAGGUAAUAACGAGAACGGCAGAUGGCUGACUGUCAUCCGUGGUGACCGAGACUUGAUAAAUGCCUCUGUUUGCACCUCGAUCCAAGGGA